CUUCCUAUAGUUCAAUGGAUAGAAUAGUCCCCUCCUAAGGGAUAGAUCCAGGUUCGACUCCUGGUGGGGAGACCA
This 75-nucleotide transfer RNA is filed under the name Candidatus Peregrinibacteria bacterium. RNAcentral's name for it is "tRNA-Arg". It matches the Rfam family "tRNA". From Rfam's summary of the family: Transfer RNA (tRNA) molecules are approximately 80 nucleotides in length. Their secondary structure includes four short double-helical elements and three loops (D, anti-codon, and T loops). Lineage: Bacteria; Candidatus Peregrinibacteriota. The record is from RNAcentral.